UUAAAAAUAUGUUUUACGAUCAUAAAAAUUUUUAAGUAAAACCAUUUUCUGUUAAAGCAUCCAGAAAAGUUGUAAGAAUUAAAAUCUUUUGCUUGUAUUUUGAUAUAGUGGGCUUUCCAGGUUUAAAGGAGUGGAAUAGGUGUGGUUACUAGGUUAUGUAGGUUUCUAAUUCAUUGGCCAGCGUAAACAAAUUAUUCUGUCUCCACCCCUCUGUAUUGUUUCAGUGAGUAGAUAAAAGCGUCCACACACUCAUCACACUUUCGGAAAUAAUCCAUCAGAGGUAAAAAUGACUGAGGAAAAGGUGUUCAACAAUCUGGCUCAAAACCAGGAUUUAAACAACUAUAUUAUUUCCUUGAUCAAUCUUACCCAAGAUGAUCCUCAUACAUCAUUGUUUUUAUUGUCACAUCUUGAAAAAAAUAUAAAAAGUCUAAAAAACUGUUUUAAUAUUAUUGAAAAAGAUUUUGACCCUAUUGGGUUUAUCGUUAAACUCAAAUACAAUGGAGUUUCAAAAGGCAAGAUUCUAUCACAGUGUUUUUAUGCACAUGAGAGGCUUGUUUUGACAACCUGUCACUCAACUGGUAUUGACUCUGACUUAAUUUUUGCUUUCUUUCCAUUGAAAGAUGAUACCUUAAUUUACAAACUUAAUUCACGUCCCACUUACUAUUCCGAAAAAAUCGAUUAUGCAUUCUUUGAACUGCCAGCGGAUGCUUUUGUCCCUUGGGAAAGGGGAUUGUUGACAAAAAUUACAGGGGAGCCGUGUGUCGGCAUGCCAGUCUAUGUCAAAACCAACCAGGAUUUUAACCAAGUUCAUUUAAUGAAUUCGACUGUAAUAGAAACCCCCAUAGAAAUGAAAAAUUGGGUUCAGAGAUCAGAAUUUUUAAUUGACCAAGUUGGUACUUCUGGUGAUAGUGGUGCCCCAGUUUUCAAUGAAAACAAUUGCAUUGUGGGGAUUUAUCGUGGAGACAUUAGUCUUAACCAAAUUCCACUGACUGGGAAAUGCAUUAACAUCACAGACAUCUUGGUAGAUAAAAAAAAAAAAAAAAAAAAUAGAAAGUGGUUUCCAACUAUCUAUGAAAAAAUAAUCUCCUUUAUCUUGCCUUUCUUAAAAAUUCCAUGCAGUUUCGGUCCCUUCAGCAGACGGCAGAGAGACUGAAAUAUCUUUGUAUAAAUAUCUUUGGUUAAGGUGCUCUGCCUGUGCUUCAGCGCCCAGAUCCCCACAGCUGGAGCUGGCUGGCUAAGAUUGCGCAUGUGCAGCCCACUAAACCAGGCGUGCACAACCUGGGCCAUCUUCAACCAUUGACAUCUUCAAUAUGCACUCUCAGUCUUUGGCUGUAGUCGGUGCUCAUUAAAUCAGAUCGCAAAACACAAUUUGUUCAUAUAGCGCCUUUCAUGCAAGAUUGCAAUACAAAUUCGUUCACAUAGUAAAGAUAAAAAGAUCCAUAAAAAGCUGCAACAACACUGAAAACAUAAAAACGAUAAAACGACAUAGAUAGGAGCUAACUGAAUAUAUAACAGCAGAAGUUGGCACAAAACCCCAAAAACAGGAUCGGCCCCUUUUGUGCACCCCUGCACUAGAGUAACGCCACCUCAGUCAUUUUUACCUCUGCUGGAGGACUUUCCCCGGAAAGAAACGCCUGCCCCCACGUUAGCCUGUGUGAGCGCGGGUACCAUCAGCCAGGCCAGGAGCGACGGGAUCUGUUUCCGUGGAGACCAUUUUCACCAUUCCAGAGUGACGGGAUCCGUUUCCGUGGAGACCAUUUCCACCCUCUCCUGAGUGAGGAGAUCCGUUUUCGUGGAGCCAUGUGUUCGCCUGUGAGGACUGAACAUGUGGCUGUGACAUCACUUCUCUGAGAUACAACAAGGAGGAAGUGGAUAACUUACCAAAGAAUCCCAAAACACAGGAACUCCACACGGAACAAGCACAUGACAUCACAGACCCAACGCAUGACAUCACAACCAGGAUGGCAACAUCUGGACGACCAGGCUGAGACUACAGGAACCAAGCUGAGAACAUCAUAGCAGGCUCACAUGGGGACAAGCUUUCUUUCCGCCCUUUCCCUAACACCCCCCACUCCAAAAAAA
Anguilla anguilla (European eel) is the source of this 2082-nucleotide RNA transcript. RefSeq lists it as uncharacterized. The transcript has 5 exons. Lineage: Eukaryota; Metazoa; Chordata; Actinopteri; Anguilliformes; Anguillidae. The record is from RefSeq and is a predicted model, not a curated record.